UUUAAUGUGGCAGAAAAGUGCUAUGGGCUUAAGCCUCAUCCAUGAAGAGAUUUUACUUCCAUUAAAA
Molecule: transfer RNA, 67 nt
Filed under: Vestalis melania
Lineage: Eukaryota; Metazoa; Arthropoda; Insecta; Odonata; Calopterygidae
Description: tRNA-Leu
Source: RNAcentral